This 73-nucleotide transfer RNA is filed under the name Mustela putorius furo (domestic ferret). It matches the Rfam family "tRNA". From Rfam's summary of the family: Transfer RNA (tRNA) molecules are approximately 80 nucleotides in length. Their secondary structure includes four short double-helical elements and three loops (D, anti-codon, and T loops). The record is from Rfam by way of RNAcentral. Lineage: Eukaryota; Metazoa; Chordata; Mammalia; Carnivora; Mustelidae.
ACCUGGCUGGCUUAGUUAGUAGAGCAAUGGACUCUAGAUCUUAGGGUUGUGAGUUCAAGUCCCACACUGGGUG